UCCGAUAUGGUGUAGUGGCUAACAUUAUCGCCUCUCAGCUUGGAACGCGAUAGCCCGGGGUUCGAUUCCCCGUGUCGGAA
RNAcentral lists this transfer RNA (80 nucleotides) under Wolfiporia cocos MD-104 SS10. Its description in RNAcentral is "Wolfiporia cocos (strain MD-104) (brown rot fungus) tRNA". It matches the Rfam family "tRNA". From Rfam's summary of the family: Transfer RNA (tRNA) molecules are approximately 80 nucleotides in length. Their secondary structure includes four short double-helical elements and three loops (D, anti-codon, and T loops). The record is from Rfam by way of RNAcentral. Lineage: Eukaryota; Fungi; Basidiomycota; Agaricomycetes; Polyporales; Phaeolaceae.